Molecule: ribosomal RNA, 291 nt
Filed under: uncultured bacterium
Lineage: Bacteria
Description: partial 16S ribosomal RNA
Rfam family: Bacterial small subunit ribosomal RNA
Source: RNAcentral
AUUGAACGCUGGCGGCAUGCUUUACACAUGCAAGUCGAACGGCAACACGGGGGCAACCCUGGUGGCGAGUGGCGAACGGGUGAGUAAUACAUAGGAACGUAUCCUGAAAUGGGGGAGUAGCUCGGCGAAAGCCGGAUUAAUACCGCAUACGAUCUACGGAUGAAAGCAGGGGAUUCGCAAGAACCUUGCGUUUCUGGAGCGGCCUAUGUCUGAUUAGCUAGUUGGCGGGGAAAAGCCCACCAAGGCGACGAUCAGUAGCUGGUCUGAGAGGAUGAUCAGCCACACUGGGAC